RNAcentral lists this ribosomal RNA (300 nucleotides) under uncultured Lactobacillus sp. Its description in RNAcentral is "bacterial SSU rRNA". It matches the Rfam family "Bacterial small subunit ribosomal RNA", at positions 496 to 795 of the family's 1533-position model. The record is from RNAcentral. Lineage: Bacteria; Bacillati; Bacillota; Bacilli; Lactobacillales; Lactobacillaceae.
GCUAAGCGCGGCAGCGGACGACGGGUAAAGCGGGGGUGGCAAGCGUGUGCGGGAAUGAGUGGGCGUAAAGCGCGGGCAGGCGGUUUCUUAAGUCGGAUGGGAAAGCCCACGGCUCAACCGUGGAGGGUCAUUGGAAACUGGGGAACUUGAGUGCAGAAGAGAAAAGCGGAAUUCCACGUGUAGCGGUGAAAUGCGUAGAGAUGUGGAGGAACACCAGUGGCGAAGGCGGCUUUUUGGUCUGUAACUGACGCUGAGGCGCGAAAGCGUGGGGAGCAAACAGGAUUAGAUACCCGGGUAGUC